GAUGCCCCAAGAGGGUACGACAAAUUCUUCUAGAACUAAUAAGGCAACUUCACAGAGAAACAGUAUACGGGAUAAACACAUAAAGGUACGCGGAAUUCCUCUAUGCCAGCAACGAAUAUGGAGGCUCCACAAUCAAACACACCUUCACAAAGAAACUACUUCGUACAAAGAAACUACUUCGGGAUAAAUCUAACAGUGCCUGUCCAGGCAUCCCACGCCGAAAGCUCUUUAGCACUGAUAAAGGAAGUCCAAGAUAUAAAUCAAUGGAGAGAUACACCAUGUUCGGGCCUGGAAGACUAAGCAUCGCCACGAUGUCGAUUCUCCCCAGACUGAGAGAGAGAUUUAACGCCAUUUCUAUCAAAAUCCUGUCAGCUUCGUUUGUUUUCGUAGAGACAGACCAAAAUAUUCUAAAAUGUAUGUGGAAGGACAAAGGAAUUAGAGUAGUUUCGAAACCGGUUUUGAAAAGAAUAGUAAUUUGGGAACACAAGUGUUUAGAGUUUCCGAACUUAGUAGUAGUUGUAAUAAGGAAGCCCGUGUUGGUAUUUGCAGAAGGACAGUCCCACACAACAGAACAGAACAGAACAAAGAAUCCAGAAAGAGUCCCCACAAAUAUGCCCACCUGAGUUUUGAAAAGGGUGCUAACGCAAUUCCAUUCCAGACAGCUCGGUUUUGUACCGACUACGGCCACCUAAAGCUUGCGAUGAACUCAGACAGGCCACCCUCAGAAAACAGCAGCAGCAGCAGCAGCAGCAGAGGAGGAGGAUGGUGGUGUGACCGAGGUCCUACCAGGCUUCUGUGAGGCUUGCUUCUUGUCUGGCGUCUCAAGACCCCACAGCCUUGUCCCGGUGGGCGCAGCACCUCACAACCUCCAGACCCAUGGCCACUGGUCGGAGGACACCCCUUUGCAGCUCCUGAACGUCGUCCUCAAGGUCGGCGCGGAGGACGAAGAAGUGAGCAGCCCUUGGGAAGAUGCUUCUCUGCACGGAGCUCAGAAGAGCCCAGAACGGGGCUUCACUGACGGAGCUGCUAACUCUGUGGGGGGCCUGGAGACAGCGAGAGUGGAAAUGCGGCCGAACCAGGCAGAUGAGGUUUCAGCCUUGUUGGGGCUCAAGUCCUGCUAGAAGAGACCGACUUGAAGCCAGUAGGAAACAUCUUUAUCAUUGGCCUUGAUUCAUUCAUCACAUAGUGUCCAACGUGGAUUCCGUAUGCUGACAACCUGCCUGGCGCAUUACUCCGCUGGCCGCUCCGGUCCAGACGUCAGGCCGUCCCCCGAGGGAAGCCGACCCCACCGGCCCCGAAAGUUCAUGCUUGGGGUGCUGAGCGCCAGGCUGUCCCAGGAAUGGGCCCCUUGGUCCCUGGCCCUCUAUUCCGGCCAGCAGUUCUGGGGAGGCCAAGGCUGGAGCCCGACACUCUCCGUGGUUUCGUGAUCGUUUAAGAAAACAGAAGGGACAAACGUUUCACCGUCUUUAAAAACACAGGAGUCUGAGGAGAGAAGCCAAGGUCCGCCGCUUGGCAGCUCCGCGGGAGGACGAAGCAUCCGUGUCCCUUGCUGACCCACGCUGCGCCGCCUCCUCAUGCCCACGCGGAAGCACGUUUUCAGGCGGCAGUAUUGGCACAGGUGGUGCUGGUCGAUCUGGCAGCGGCGGUCGGAGCGGCCGGUGUAGCUGUGGUUGCUGUGGAUGCCUCCGCUGGAAGCAGCUCUCGCAGCCCUGGCAGGGGAAGACGCUGUAGUGCUUGCCGCUCGACAUGUCCCCACACACCACGCAGUCCACCUGCAGCUCCGGCUUCGCCAGGCUCGGAGUCGCUGGCGGCGCCCGCGGGGGAGGCCCAGGAAGCUGCUGGAGGCCUGCAAGGCCCCGCGGCCAGCACUUCCCGAGCUGCCGCCCCCUCUGUGGCCGCACCUUCCCUGCCUGGGCCUCAGGCGGGGCCCCAGCCUCGCUGGCCUUUGCCGGGCCUUUGCCGCCGCCGCCCACCCUGGGAGCCGGCCUCGAGCUGCAGCCGGUUUUCUCUGGGAAUAGUUUUUCUCCGUUCUCUGCUCUCCUCGGUCUCAGUUUCCAACGCCUUCCUGCGUCUGCAGCCCAAACGUUGUAGGGGAAGUUUGGGUUUGGAAUGGCAGGCUAAAUAGCUGUACCCAACCCAGUGCAAACCAGCAAAGCAUGAAGGACUUUGGGGUUUUUUUGUCUUUUUUUUUUUUUCUUUUAAAAGAUUUUGUUCACUGGACAGUGA
Neogale vison (American mink) is the source of this 2226-nucleotide long non-coding RNA. RefSeq lists it as uncharacterized. NCBI's taxonomy places the organism in Eukaryota, Metazoa, Chordata, Mammalia, Carnivora, Mustelidae. The record is from RefSeq and is a predicted model, not a curated record. The transcript is spliced from 4 exons.